Molecule: ribosomal RNA, 254 nt
Filed under: uncultured bacterium
Lineage: Bacteria
Description: partial 16S ribosomal RNA
Rfam family: Bacterial small subunit ribosomal RNA
Source: RNAcentral
GACAGAGGUGCCGAGCGUUAGGCGGAAUCACUGGGCUUAAAGCGUGUGUAGGCGGGCGGGCAAGUACCUUGUGAAAUCCCACGGCUCAACCGUGGAACUGCUGGGUAUACUGCCUGUCUUGAGCCAGCCAGGGGCAGUCGGAACAGACGGUGGAGCGGUGAAAUGCGUAGAUAUCGUCUGGAACGCCAAAGGUGAAAACAGACUGCUGGGGCUGUGCUGACGCUGGAGACACGAAAGCCAGGGGAGCGAACGGG